RNAcentral lists this non-coding RNA (24 nucleotides) under Mus musculus (house mouse). The record is from RNAcentral. Lineage: Eukaryota; Metazoa; Chordata; Mammalia; Rodentia; Muridae.
GACCAGAACUAACUGGAAGGUGGC